UUUUUGAGGGUCUCAGUUGAGAAAGCAUUUGGGUUUUCUAAGUUUGCAAAACCAAAGUUUCUGUGGCUGCAUUCAAGGCUUGAUAUUCUGUUUUCAAGAUGGCUGAUAAGGUAGCAAAAAGGGCCAAUAGAAAGAUAUAUGGACUUGUGUAUUCUAGGGGAACCACAGGCAGAUUCAAACCAUAUGAGAUAGCCAAGGAUGAUGACCUAAUUAUAGGGAGUCUGCCAAAAGAAAUUAUGAGGAAAGUUAGUAGGAGAUCUAACAGCAUUAGAUACAGGGCAAAAGAAAGCUUGUUAGGACAUUGUAUUGACAAUGAUAAGGGAAAAGAAGGUACAGAAAUGAUAACUAUGAAAGGGAAGUCCAAGGCAGAGUAUUCUAAGCUAAAGGAGAGUCAGACUGGUGAAGAGGUUCCUAUUGGCAAUGGACAGAUAGAGGUAGACACUGUGCAGGAGGAGGACAACAAGAACGUAAACACUCCAAUGAACAGAAAGAGGGGUGCAGACGGAGAAAUAGUUUGUGCAUAUUUGUUAUCUCCACAGAAAAGUGUGUCCAGGCUUCGUCCAAGGAAAGAGGUUCCUGCUUUCCGCAUGGUUAAUCUGGAGGAGAAUGACAAUGAAUUUGUAGUUGGCAAGAGAGUCAAGGUUUACUGGUCAGGUUCACGCAGAUGGUUCACAGGAUGCAUUAUAGCUUUUGAUAAGAAGAAUAGGCUGCAUAGGAUUCUGUAUGAAGAUGGUGACAAGGAGGCGUUGGACUUGAGGAAAGAACGGUUUGAACUUGAGGUAAUGCCAACUGACAAUUUCAAGUUGAAAAGCAAACCCUAUUCUGCUAGAAAGGCUGAUGGACUGGAUACUGGUAAUGUUAGAGAAGCUGUGAUGAAAGAGUACUCAAGAAAUGUUAGUGGUGCAAAAACAAUGACAAAGAGUUCAGAGUCCAAGCUGAAAAGAGAAGCAAAGAAAGAGGGCAAAAGGACAAGUUCAAAAGCAUGGAGGAAGGACACUGAAGUUAUUAUGGAGGAUUUAGCCUCUAAUGUGGAUGUGAUUCCAACGAAAGUUGGUGAAGUAGUAAAUAAUAAAGUCAGUGACAAGGAAGAACCUGGUGAGGCAAGUCCUGAAGAAGAUGAAUCUAAUUUCUUUUCUGAAGCUCCUAAAGAAGGUAGCACAGAGUUUAAAGCAGAAGCAGCUGUAGUGAAGUCUCAUUCUGAGUUCUGGAGCAUGGUAUCAGACAACAGUAGCAUUAAAGAAAGUGGAAAAGCUGUGGAAGAUGAUUUCUUAAAGAUCAGCAUUGCUGAAUUAGCGAAAGAGCCAAAGGGUUCAAGGAAAAGACUUAUGCCUAAAGCUAAAAGAAUAAGAACCAAUAGGACUUUCAGUAGGGAAUUUGGCAAAGAUGUGGGGACGCUAGAGGCACAUAUGAAGUCUCAUGUUCGCUAUGAUGAAUUAAAGACCACACAAAUAGAUGUUGAUAUCAACAGUGAGGCAAUUGACGUUAGUCAACAGAACAUUAGCAGAAAGAAUGAAGCCCUUGAAAAGAAAGAAAGUGAAGGAGAUGAAACAUUAAAUGAAUCUCCAUUUACUGCAUUGGAUCUCACUUCAAAGAAAAUUGCUACAGGAUCUGGUAACAUCAGUAGAAAAGCAGCUAAUGAGGUGGAAAACCUGACAAAAACAGAAAAUAAAGCAUCUGAACAUGUCACCACUUGUCUCCGCAUAAACCCUCAGAAUGUGAAAGUUGAGAGGGAGGUCCUGGCUGCUCAAAUUGAGUUUGUUACUUCCAUUAAAAAAGGUGAAGAGGAAGUAAUAACUGGGAUCACCAAUGUUCAAAGACCUGGAGACGUUCGCACAUUGAACACUAACCAUGGGGCUGAAUCUAUCCUGGAAGCAGAGAGCAUGAAGCCCUGUGAAGCAUCUUCCUAUCUGCUGCCUAUUAGGCAAAUAAGUCCAGAAGAAGCAAAGCCAAAUGUUUUUCAGGGAAAGGUCAAAUUGGAGAAUGGUGAAUCUGAUAAAGAAUCCAAAGAAGGCAUGGACUGCAUCAGUGAGAAAUCAGAGAUCUAUGGUAGCAAGGAAGGACCAAAGCAAUGAUAGUGCUGCCAGCUGAAGUAGCCUUAUCAGAAAGGCAAUUUGGGGUUUAAACAAAGUAAAUAUAUAUUGACAGACGUAUGAAAGAGUUUUUGGAUGCUAUGAAAACUGCAUUAUACUCAAUAUUCUGCAGCGAUAGCAAUCCAGCAACCUCUAAUGGAAAUACGAGGCAGCUAAGAUGUGCAUAGAGAUGGUGACUUGAUAUGAAGACACAGAAAUGGGCAGGCUAACAUAAUAAUUCUGUUGUUAGACACUUAAAUGCACCGAACAACAAGACAAUACUGAAGUCAAGAAGCGUCUAAGGUAAAAACUGUUGUUAUUUUUGUUUGCCGGAGAAACGAUGAUACCAUACUCUCUUCAUCAGUCAUUAUCCAGUGCAUAUUCUAUACAACACUGUUAUUUCAGGAAUGAGUUUUGUUCGUUGAAUGAUUUCAGCUCUCUUACUACCCAUGAACCCCGUGGGUAUCCUGUUACUUUCAGCUGGUUUUGUAACAAAUGAUCUAGCUGGGAAUGGUUAUUCUCGCCAAAGCUGUUAUAACAAUUACUGAUAGAAUUACAGCUUUUUCUAAAACUUUA
This is a non-coding RNA of Durio zibethinus, 2645 nucleotides long. Lineage: Eukaryota; Viridiplantae; Streptophyta; Magnoliopsida; Malvales; Malvaceae. The record is from RefSeq and is a predicted model, not a curated record.